GUGCCAUGACAACUUUGCUGGGAGGGCAUAAUGUGUGUAAUUAGCCGUGCCAUGGGAAAUGUACAUUGACUAUCUCACUGAGAGGAAGGGAAGUGUUUGUAUACCUGAACAAGGAGUGAACAAUAUGAUUGCAGAGGGGGUUGGUGUGUGAGUGGACAUUAUUCUCAGCCAGUACUCAAGGAGAAAGGAUGGACCUGUCAGCAGUCUGCC
Non-coding RNA from Pelobates cultripes (western spadefoot toad), 210 nucleotides. The record is from the annotation of a GenBank genome assembly. Lineage: Eukaryota; Metazoa; Chordata; Amphibia; Anura; Pelobatidae.